UAGUCCACGCCGUAAACGAUGUCAACUAGCCGUUGGGAGCAAUUAAGCUCUUAGUGGCGCAGCUAACGCGAUAAGUUGACCGCCUGGGGAGUACGCCGGCAACGGUAAAACUCAAAUGAAUUGACGGGGGCCCGCACAAGCGGUGGAACAUGUGGUUUAAUUCGAUGAUACGCGAGGAACCUUACCUGGGCUCGAACACUACUGGAAGGUGCUUGGAAACGAGGCUGUCCUUCGGGACUAGUAGUGAGGUGCUGCAUGGUUGUCGUCAGCUCGUGCCGUGAGGUGUUGGGUUAAGUCCCGCAACGAGCGCAACCCCUAUUUCUAGUUGCCAGCACAUAAUGGUGGGGACUCUAGAGAGACUGCCGGCGUAAGCCGAGAGGAAGGUGGGGACGACGUCAAAUCAUCAUGGGCCUUUAUGCCCAGGGGCUACACACGUGCUACAAUGGUGCAUACAGAGGGGUCGCAAAGUCGUGAGGGCUAAGCUAAUCUCAGAAAGUGCAUC
Molecule: ribosomal RNA, 502 nt
Filed under: uncultured bacterium
Lineage: Bacteria
Description: bacterial SSU rRNA
Rfam family: Bacterial small subunit ribosomal RNA
Source: RNAcentral